CAUGCAAGUCGAGCGGUAGCACAGAGAGCUUGCUCUCGGGUGACGAGCGGCGGACGGGUGAGUAAUGUCUGGGAAACUGCCUGAUGGAGGGGGAUAACUACUGGAAACGGUAGCUAAUACCGCAUAACGUCGCAAGACCAAAGUGGGGGACCUUCGGGCCUCAUGCCAUCAGAUGUGCCCAGAUGGGAUUAGCUGGUAGGUGGGGUAACGGCUCACCUAGGCGACGAUCCCUAGCUGGUCUGAGAGGAUGACCAGCCACACUGGAACUGAGACACGGUCCAGACUCCUACGGGAGGCAGCAGUGGGGAAUAUUGCACAAUGGGCGCAAGCCUGAUGCAGCCAUGCCGCGUGUGUGAAGAAGGCCUUCGGGUUGUAAAGCACUUUCAGCGGGGAGGAAGGCGGUGAGGUUAAUAACCUUGUCGAUUGACGUUACCCGCAGAAGAAGCACCGGCUAACUCCGUGCCAGCAGCCGCGGUAAUACGGAGGGUGCAAGCGUUAAUCGGAAUUACUGGGCGUAAAGCGCACGCAGGCGGUCUGUCAAGUCGGAUGUGAAAUCCCCGGGCUCAACCUGGGAACUGCAUUCGAAACUGGCAGGCUAGAGUCUUGUAGAGGGGGGUAGAAUUCCAGGUGUAGCGGUGAAAUGCGUAGAGAUCUGGAGGAAUACCGGUGGCGAAGGCGGCCCCCUGGACAAAGACUGACGCUCAGGUGCGAAAGCGUGGGGAGCAAACAGGAUUAGAUACCCUGGUAGUCCACGCUGUAAACGAUGUCGAUUUGGAGGUUGUGCCCUUGAGGCGUGGCUUCCGGAGCUAACGCGUUAAAUCGACCGCCUGGGGAGUACGGCCGCAAGGUUAAAACUCAAAUGAAUUGACGGGGGCCCGCACAAGCGGUGGAGCAUGUGGUUUAAUUCGAUGCAACGCGAAGAACCUUACCUGGUCUUGACAUCCACAGAACUUUCCAGAGAUGGAUUGGUGCCUUCGGGAACUGUGAGACAGGUGCUGCAUGGCUGUCGUCAGCUCGUGUUGUGAAAUGUUGGGUUAAGUCCCGCAACGAGCGCAACCCUUAUCCUUUGUUGCCAGCGGUCCGGCCGGGAACUCAAAGGAGACUGCCAGUGAUAAACUGGAGGAAGGUGGGGAUGACGUCAAGUCAUCAUGGCCCUUACGACCAGGGCUACACACGUGCUACAAUGGCAUAUACAAAGAGAAGCGACCUCGCGAGAGCAAGCGGACCUCAUAAAGUAUGUCGUAGUCCGGAUUGGAGUCUGCAACUCGACUCCAUGAAGUCGGAAUCGCUAGUAAUCGUAGAUCAGAAUGCUACGGUGAAUACGUUCCCGGGCCUUGUACACACCGCCCGUCACACCAUGGGAGUGGGUUGCAAAAGAAGUAGGUAGCUUAACCUUCGGGAGGGCGCUUACCACUUUGUGAUUCAUGACUGGGGUGAAGUCGUAACAAG
This 1449-nucleotide ribosomal RNA is filed under the name Klebsiella pneumoniae. RNAcentral describes it as "16S ribosomal RNA". It matches the Rfam family "Bacterial small subunit ribosomal RNA". Lineage: Bacteria; Pseudomonadati; Pseudomonadota; Gammaproteobacteria; Enterobacterales; Enterobacteriaceae. The record is from RNAcentral.